RNAcentral lists this ribosomal RNA (1016 nucleotides) under Mucor flavus. Its description in RNAcentral is "LSU rRNA". It matches the Rfam family "Eukaryotic large subunit ribosomal RNA", at positions 38 to 960 of the family's 3401-position model. The record is from RNAcentral. Lineage: Eukaryota; Fungi; Mucoromycota; Mucoromycetes; Mucorales; Mucoraceae.
GCAUACAAUAAGCGGAGGAAAAGAAAAUAACAAUGAUUUCCCUAGUAACGGCGAGUGAAGAGGAAAGAGCUCAAAGUUGGAACCUGUUUGGCUUAGCUAAACCGGAUUGUAAACUGUAGAAGUGUUUUCCAGACACGCCUGGUAAAAAAGUCCUUUGGAACAGGGCAUCAUAGAGGGUGAGAAUCCCGUCUUUGGCCAGAGCUGUUGUCUUUUGUGAUACAUUUUCAAAGAGUCAGGUUGUUUGGGAAUGCAGCCUAAAUUGGGUGGUAAAUCUCACCUAAAGCUAAAUAUUUGCGAGAGACCGAUAGCGAACAAGUACCGUGAGGGAAAGAUGAAAAGAACUUUGAAAAGAGAGUUAAACAGUAUGUGAAAUUGUUAAAAGGGAACCGUUUGGAGCCAGACUGGCUUGACUGUAAUCAAUCUAGGCUUCGGCCUGGAUGCACUUGCGGUUUAUGCCUGCCAACGACAAUUUUCUUUGAGGGAAAAAACUAUUAGGAAUGUGGCCCCCUCGGGGGUGUUAUAGCCUUUUAGAAAAUACCUUGAAUUGGAUUGAGGAACGCAGUGAAUGCCUUUAGGCAAGAUUGCUGGGCGCUUUCGCUAAUAAAUGCUAGAAUUUCUGCUUYGGGUGGUGCUAGUGUUUAAAGGAGAAACUCGCUUGGUAUAUUUUUUAUUCGCUUAGGUUGUUGGCUUAAUGACUCUAAAUGACCCGUCUUGAAACACGGACCAAGGAGUCCACCAUUAGUGCGAGUAUUUGGGUGCCAAACCCAUAUGCGUAAGGAAACUGAUUGAUACGAAAUCUUUAAGAUGGCAGUAUCACCCGGCGAUGACGUUUUAUACUGAACCGACCGAGGUAAAGCACUAAUGAUGGGACCCGAAAGAUGGUGAACUAUGCCUGAAUAGGGUGAAGCCGGAGGAAACUCCGGUGGAGGCUCGUAGCGAUUCUGACGUGCAAAUCGAUCGUCAAAUUUGGGUAUAGGGGCGAAAGACUAAUCGAACCAUCUAGUAGCUGGUUCUGC